RNAcentral lists this long non-coding RNA (8227 nucleotides) under Fragaria vesca (wild strawberry). Its description in RNAcentral is "long non-coding RNA (FVES_LNC000289)". Lineage: Eukaryota; Viridiplantae; Streptophyta; Magnoliopsida; Rosales; Rosaceae. The record is from RNAcentral.
UUUUUUAUUCUCCGCCGCGCUCGCUCCAACACGCAAGAUAGCCUCACCAGUCACCAGCGCCUCUACCUAACUUCUACCUCUUUCGCCUUUUUCUGUUCCUUUUCUUUGCAUUUUAUUGUGUUUUGUCUGAUAAUUGUUUUUUCUGCACCAAUUGAAAGAACGCACAGAAGAAGAAGAAGAAGGGGCGCAGUCACCCUCACCAGAUUGGCAACUCCGCCCCCAAGCGCCGCCCACAGCUCCUGCCUGGAGCAACUCUGGCGCUCACCCUCAGCCCAGCCUCAUCUCGGCCGCAACCCAGCCUUGCUCCUGCGAUCUGACCCGCUCCGGCAACAGCCCGGCCUUCCAGAUCGGACCGCAUCCCUGUGCAAGGCUAGCACAGAUCUCCGUCGCGAACCCAACACGUCGCCGACGGACCCCUUCCCAGCCCAGCCUUGUGCGCCGCCUAUCGAGAUUGAUCCACCCGAGCUCCGAUCGGGACUGGCUCGAUCCGAAUCCGGCAAUAGAGCCCUACCCGGCGUUAGAUCCAAACCGAUCCGGAAAAAAUGGGUUUUACCCUUUUCUGGUAAAUCAGAUAUUUACAAAGGUAAUUUCACAAAGUUACCAAAUGAUGGUUUUAAGAGUUAGUGUUUACGAUUAUAGAUUUACUCUUUACUGUUUACUGUUUUAUGGAAAUUAAAAUGGUAAAACAGAAAAGUAAUUACUGUUUAAGUUAUUUACUAUUUUACAGUAACACCAUUUUUUACUAAUUAUUUAUGAUUAAUUAUAACGAGUACAUCACUGUAUAUAUGGUUACAUGUUACUAAUUAAUCAUAUAAAUCUUAGGGAAAAAGACCAUUUGCACAAAAUAGAAAAAGUCAAACCCCAUUUCAAUGAUAAUCUUUUUUAUUAGCCCAUUUGAAUACAAGGUAUUUAUUUUAAGCUCAAAUACAUAAAUUUUUAUUAAAAUAUAAUAAAAUGAUAUUUUAAAAGACUUUUUUACCCUUAACCUUUAUUUAAAGAGAAAAAAAGAAAAAGAAGAAGGGAAGACUUUCCCGGAAGCACACCGGACACCAGCGCCGGUCGACGGUCACCGGAUUCCGGUCGCCGAACACCGGUUGCCUAAUUCUCGUCACCGGACACUGGCCGCCGGAUUUCGGACACCGGUCGCCGAAAAAUUGAUGGUGAUCGGAAAAUCGCUGGAGACGCCGGAGUCUCAUUGGAUUUUUUUGAAAAAAAUGUCACCAGAACCCACCGGAUCUUGCCGGAAGCAUACCGGCAAAAAAUGAAGUUUACUACCCCUAGUAAACUUUUACUGGGGGUAGUAAACUUACAAAACAGUAGCUCCAAUACCAUAAUUCACAUUGAAAAAGAGAAAAAUCAACUUAGAUGCGAAAAAAUGAAGUUUACUACCCCUAGUAAAUUUUACUAGGGGUAGUAAACUUGCAAAACAGUAGCUCCAAUGCCAUAAUCACAUUAAAAAGAGAAAAAUCAACUUAGAUGCGAAAAAUAAAGUUUACUGAAGGGGUUAGUAAACUUUUACUUAAAAUUUACUACCCCCUAGUAAACUUCUACUGAAGAUAGUAAACUUGCAAAACGGUAUCUACAAAUGCCAUAAUACACAUUAAAAUGGAGAAAAAUUAACUUAGAUGCGAAAAAAUAAAGUUUACUGGGAGUAGUAAAUUUUUUACUAAAGUUUAUUACCCCUAGUAAACUUCUAAUGGGAGCAGUUAACUUGUAAACAGUAUCUCCAAAUGUCAUAAUACACAAUAAAACAAAGGAAAAAUCAACUUAAUUACGAAAAAACAAAAUUUACUGGGGGUAGUAAAUUAGUAAAACCAAUGAACUCAUACUAUUCAAUCUGAAACUAUUCAAACAUACAUCCUUGGUAAGAAACCAAAUGAUUCCAAAUUCAAAUCACAUUUGCGGUUGAAACUUGAGGAUCAUGGAGAUUCAAAUCAUACGAAAAUACAAAUCACACGAAAAUUGAGGAUUGUUCCUGAGGAGCCUGCCAAUUUGAUCGUCCUGAUCUCCAACGCCGGCGACCGAGGAUUCUGGUUCAGAAUCGAAAGUGAAUCGGAUUUCCCUUCCAAGCAAAUCUGAAUCCACUAAAUCUGUACAUCACGAUGAACAAUUUGACCACCGGAAGAGGAAACAGAGCUUACCGGGAGGUUUACAUGACGGUCGACGGCGAGCUGGUCGGGUCGGAGGUGCCGUUUCCGAUGGUGUUCACCGACGAGAUGAAUCCAGAGAUCGUUGCAAGCGAGAGGCCCGGUUGUCGAGGAAGAUGGUGACGGUGUAGUGCCGAUGCUCCUUGCUCGAGGGCGUCGGUGGCAACGCUGUCUUCCACCAUGGAAGUUCGUCGAGGUGAGAGAGAGGAAGAGAGAGGAGAGAUGAGAGAUGAGUGAGAAGUGAUCGGGAAAGAAGAUAAGAAAGGAGUGGUGGGAAUAGAACAGUGGGUAUAAAUGUCUUUUUCUUAUGAAUAAUUGAGAUGGGCCUUGGGAAAAGAUUAUCAUUGAUGUGGGCAAUAAAUCUUUAAAAUUAGUAUCAUUAAGGCAUUUACUCUAAAUCUUAUUGUGUUUACUAAUUAAUCAUAUAAAUCUUAUUGUGUUUGCAUAUGAUAUACCCAUUGCCGUGUGACGAUCAACAUGUCAAUUUGGGUGGCAACCCGAUCAAAAUGUUCAUUGCGAGAGAAAGCACAUCAUACGCAAUCUAUUUGGCAGACUCACAAGUAUGAUUUACUGUCACACCCCAACUCGAGUAAAGGUAUAAUCUCGAGUUGAGAUGUGAAUCACACUCUAAUUACAGACAGUUUAAUAUCCAUAAUUAAAAUGAGACUGAUAUCAUUACAUGACGUAAGAAAAAAAACGAUCGCACCUUUAUUUAUAUUACAAACCUUUAAAAAGGGUGCUAAAAGCACACAGGUUUAAAGUAUUUACAAACAAACAGCAAACAAACCAAAACAAAAAUAGCGUUACUCCUCAUAACGUCUAUUCUUUAUUCAAUCUCUAUUUACAAACAAACAAAAGCAAAAAGGUUCUAAUUUGCAUUAUAAGAUUUCCAAAACACUUCGAGAAAACACCUGCAAUGGGUUUGAAUGGGAUGAGCUACACUUAACAAUACUAGAUAAAUAAAUAUAGCACAUCGCAACAAUGGCAACGAAACAAAUAAACAUAUUAAGAAUGCAAGUAUGCAAUGUUCGACUCAACUCUUCCCACUUCACAUCACCCUCAUAAAACUCUUCUCAUUUGUUAGUCAUCUUGUUAUACUCAUGGCCUCCAAACCCGAAACCCGAUUAGAUAGUUUUAUCGACUCCGGCGUCGAUAGGGCUUCACUCCCCUCUUCGUGCACAUGUGGGUUACCGUAGGUCUUGGAUGCCCCAUGAGGAAACUCAACUACACAAACGAUUUCCUAAUAGCAAUAUCCCAUACAAUCCCAAGAACUCAUUCAUUUUUCAACUUCCAUCGUGUACUCACUUUUCUCACAAUGUCAUGUAAUAAUAAAUCAAAUAGAACAUGCUUUCAUAUAUGAGCAUAUCAUAAUCAAAUCAAUAAGCAUAAUCUCCAAUGAUCAUAUAUCUAAGUCAAAAGACCAGUUCAAUAUCAAACAAUGCCAACAAUAUCGCACACAUCAAUGUCAAACAACUCCAACAAUAGCCAAACAAUUCAAGCAUAAUCACAACAUAAAACAAACGCCCCAUCAAACCCUACCUCGAAUUGCGCAACGCAAACCCGAGCUCUAGCUCUGUUGCCUACUCUUGUGGAUCACCAACGACCUCCUCGGAACCUUACCAAAUGGUAAAGUACAUACAAAGUUAGUAACUACCUUAAAGCAACUCAACACAAGGAACUUUCAAUUGCCAAAAAAAUAUAACUUAAUGUCGUAACAUUAAGCAAUUUACUGUCUGGACACUUUAACAAACAAAGGAUUCGAAGUAAACCACAAGUAAUCCAUCUUAACACAACUAGUACCAAAACAGUUUCCUGACCCAGUCCCUUUCACAAUGGAAUCUAGGUAAAACCAUAAAGAAUUUUAACUUCGUGGUCCUCUAAGGAAAUAAACUAGACAUCCUAAUGAAGAUCUUAGAAGUUGAAUCACCUGAAAAUGAUUUUCUAGAAAUAGUUAUGAAUUUCGAAAGUCUACUGAUAUGCACCAGUAAAAACAGAUAUAGCUGUGUAAGUGACAGAUUUGGGCAAGGAUUUUCACAUACCAAAAGUAACCCAAAACUAACGAAAUUUGGUACGUAUAUAGAGGGAUAUAUGAAGUUUACAAUACCACUUUUGGAAUCGAAAACAAAGAACUGAGCUAAAAGUUAUGAUGUUGUAAAGUUGGUCCGAAAUCAUGGUUUUCUGCACUUUUCUGGAAAAUUUCCAGCAACACGAAAUUUCGAAUUUGAAGACUUUGAUUCGAUUUAUGGAGUAGUAAAAGAGAUUAUAAAGCUUCAAAAUAGUUAGACAACAUUUCCAGAGCUCUAAGAUGUUCCUAAACACAACCAACAAUGAAUCAAAAAGAUCCAAAAUCUGAUUUGGACACCCAACUCAAGAACAUCUCAAGAACACCAUUCUUUUAGAGCUGCAAUCACUACGACUUCUAAACAAAACAAAAUGAAAUUCUAACUAACUCUGAUAUCUAACCAGGUCUGUGAAUUCGAAGUCCAAAUACUACUGUAUAAUUAAUCAUAGGAAACAUAUAAUUGAACAAAAAUAAGAAUCAAGGAUCAAGGUAAUUGAUAUCUCAAGAACUGAAUUCGAAAAUACCAAAGGGGAUGAGAAUCCUACCUUACACAGAGACAAGACCAAACUAAGUUUCCCUCUCACACCCACUAAGUUUCUAUUUGUUUUCCAAAACUCUCUCUUUGCUCCUCCCAUCUGUUUUUGAUCGAAAUCCAGUCUCCUCUUCUCCCAAUCCAUCUUAAUCUACUAGCCCAACUCUCUAGGCUCUCCUAUGUAUGCCAUCUCUCACUUUGCAUGCGUGCUGAGAGAGAGCACGACAAAAAGGGAAUGAUUGCUGCGUUCUUACUGAACGUAGUAAUUAAUUUUUUUUUUGACAAAAGUAAAAAUACCUAAAAUCUCAAUAAAACUAAAAAAUAACCUAAUAAAACAAACAAAAUAGUUUAGGAUAUUAGAUUUACGUUAAAGUUGCCCUUUUUGUUUAAAUUUUUUGCUAAUACAUGAUAUUUAGCAUGUUACUUGAAAAAUUAUUUUGUGAUCGUUGUGACAUGUUACAAUGUUAUAUGCUAUGCUUUAUUCAAAAAUGUUAUAUGCUAUGCAUAUGUAAUUUAAUUAAAUGAUUAUUUAUUAGCAUAUCAUAUAAAUUGUGUUGCUAUGAUAAAGCAAAUUGAUAACAUCAAAAUGACAAACUUGUGAUGAAGCAAUUUCACAAAGCAUCAAAAAAGAACGUGACCACUAUGAAUCUUGAUCCUCAAAUCUAAUUCAUAUAUUUUGGAAAUUGAUUGACGUGGAUGUCUAUAUGACUGCAUAGAAAGAAUGAUAAUGAAAUUUCAUGAGCGUAUACGGUAAAGAAAAUGAUUAAAUCGUAAAUUUUAUUGUGAUAACGAAAUUUCACAUUCGAAACGAAGAUUCCGCAUCUUAGAAUACUAUAGUACUCGUGGUUGUCUAUUGAGACUGUGACACUCGUAUAUCUUCUCCUUACUCUAUUUUACAGAUGGUUGAACCAUCAUAGCUGGACUUUAAUUCACUGGACUCUGUAGAACUUGAGUACCAAUUUGUUCCUCUAUUAAGCCAAUCAAGGCUCGAGCAUGGUAAAAUUAUGGAAACACUUUUCCACAAGUAGUUUAAUUAGCAUUUCUUAAACGACAAUGUAAGGUCCGUCAGGCGUCAGCAUAAAGACAUUUCUUAAAAAUAUAAAAGAAAUCUCAAAGCAAAGGGCAAUUACCAUGUACAUGUAGAUCCCUACAAUCGUUCAAAAGCAUGUGGGAACAAUGCACCACGUGAAAGAGGGUCUAGGGGACGUGACAUAAGGAGUGACGCACACUGCCAUUUUUUUUUUAAUAAACAAAACAUUCAUAAAUAUUGCAAGUCAGCAUAUGAAAUAGCUGUGACUUACAAGUAGUAUAGAGAAUCAUGGAAGCACGGGGAAUUGAAAAAGUAUAUUCAAAUACUCGGACUGAAAAAAGAUUAUCAAUCCCUUGAAGCUUACCAAUGGAAGAAGAUAAAGUGAUGCAAGAAUGUUUUAGACUUCGGUUAAAACUGCUCUAAGUUUUCUAAGAUACUUUAUGUAAAAUCUAUUAUGCAUUCAUUUAAUUAGACUGUUGUUUUGGUCUUAAAGUUUAGGACUAAUUUCAGUUUACUCCCAUUAACUUUAGGUCGAUCAUCAUGUUAGUCAUUUUUCUUUCAAUUUCAUCAAAAACACCCCUCAACUCCCAAUUUUCAUCAGCCGCGCAUGUCUAAACCUCCAAUCUCCAUCCAAUUCCUCUGUCAAGUGAUGACUUGAUAUCAAGAAGAAAGUCAAAUUCUGAAAGUUACCUUUCGCACCAUUUUUCCCCCAUAUCGAUACACAUCUUCGUUCUCAUCACAACCCCCUAACCUUAGUAAUUUUGGUGGGAUUGAAUGCAAUUUGUCUAUUUUUCCUUUUUCCUUUUUUCUUUUUUCUUGAUAUCAAGUCAUCACUUGACAAAUGAAUUGGAUGGAGAUUGGAAGUUUGGACAUGCGCGGCUGAUGAAAAUUGGGAGUUAAGGGGUGCUUUUGAUGAAAUUGAAAGAAGAAAGACUAACAUGAUAAUCGACCUAAGUUGAUGGGGGUAAACUGAAAUUAGUUCUAAAGUUUAUGUGGAUAAUGCGUACUGAAUUAGAUGAGACUUUGAUUUAUAUUCUGAAGCAUUGAAUUUAUUCAAUUUUUAUUUACUAUAAAUAUACAUGGUUCAACAUAUCAUCAUAAAGAUGCGAAGCAAUGCAUCCAACAAAUAAAAAUAAGGUUAUUCAAAUGAAAAGCAUAUCAUUCUAUCGACAUCAAAAUACUCAAAAGAAUAUGAGGUAUACCUUUCGGAUUAUAUAUACUCCCAUAUACUUUAAGGAAUGUAUAUAUGUAGGAGUAAAAAGGUGCUUAGUGAGAUUACUCAUAUUACUUUAAGGACUAAGCUAGGUAAUUAUUUAUGUCUUAUAAUUCUACUGUGACUAUGAUGACUUGAUCAUCACAACUAAUAAAUAGCGAGGCACUCUCUGAAAUCUGUUGCCUAAUGGCAUAAAAAUUAAAGUCAUAGAAGCUCUGUGUUCCCCACGAGCUAAUCGAACCUCGUUAAAGUUAUAAAGAAAUUCGUGCCAACGAUUAUCAUAUGAAAACCUAAUGUGAGAAUGGAAUGGAACUACCUCAAAUAAAUGCGAAUGGAAACGCAUUUUGAAGAACUGAACGAGUCACCUACAUUGAAAUGUAGGAUACUGACUCACAAAGGCUUUGAUAUGACCACUUAGAACACCGUGGUUUGGACAUGGGAUCCGUACUUUAAAGAAACUCACACAGACAUCGAUCCUAUCUUUUGAGUGAAUAAUAAAAUGGGACAAAAGUCUGUCACACUGCAAGGUGACGACACUAACUCUGACCGCAUGCACUGGUCGUUCCUAGCUAAUGCUACUCCAAUGCAGUCAUUGCACUCUAAAGCACCUGAUGCUUAACAUGCCUCCUAUUAGGCCUUGUUGAUUAGUUCAAAGGCACAUCACUCAUUUUGCAAAGCCUAUUCUUUAGCAAAAACAGGAUCAAGACCUUCCUAUGCUAAAGAUAACCAAAAUAUUCCAUUCUUACCAAGAAUAUAAUGUGAUAUGUGGACAUAUCCAUCCAGAAAUGCGGACCAUUACAAUACUUUAUGGUUAUGGAGGACAUUUCGACACACUGGUCACAAGUCGAAUAAUUAUCUACUAGAAAUGCUGCAUUUGCAAACUCUGAUCAUCAAUUCCAUAAGACUUGACAAAGCUGAGAUCUAGAGUUCACAUCAAAAGGACUUGAUGCUUAUUGCAUGACGAUCAAGAUUGAUGUAAAACAUCUUGACACCCCAGAUGCAUACUCACAAUGGUCUCGUAGAAGCCACCAUAGAGGGUGGCUAGGGCACUGAUUAUGCACACCAAUCUGUCUAUACCUACUUUGGAUUAUGCAAUAUUGCACGCAAUUUUACUUAUUCGUUUUUAGGCCCACUGCUAGCCAACUAUUUCAUGCGUACCAGUUGGAAACUAGACAUGAGCCUGAGAUUUACACAUUUGGUUGUGCAGCAUAUGUGCCUAUUGCGCUCCCACAACACAUCAAAA